Entelurus aequoreus (snake pipefish) is the source of this 371-nucleotide long non-coding RNA. RefSeq lists it as uncharacterized. Lineage: Eukaryota; Metazoa; Chordata; Actinopteri; Syngnathiformes; Syngnathidae. The record is from RefSeq and is a predicted model, not a curated record. The transcript has 4 exons.
ACUUGUUUAUUUACAAUUUGUCUUCAUGUUUUAAUAUGCCAAGUGGCUUAUUGCAUUUUAUUUGAUUCACAUUUGGCUUUUUUACUGCAGGAGCAUUGCGCAGCACAUCGUCCCAGGAAGCUGGAGUGAGCUCACUGGAAAAGACAUGCAGGAGAUCCCACGCCAGACCUCGGGGAAUGACUGUGGUGUUUUCAUGCUCAUGUACUCCCUCUGGCUCUGUACGGACACUACUUUUCACUACAGUGUGCUGGACAUGCAGUCAAUCCGGCGUUGGUGGUGUGUCCUUCUAAUGGAGCGCUUUGGCAUUGAAGGGUAGGACAACUUCUUGAAAUAUCUGAUGUAUUGUUUAUCAUGAUUAGUAACUGCCUGUG